AGCCGAGCGGUAUUUCUUCUUCGGAAGAGAGAGAGCGGCGUACGGGUGCGUAACACGUGUGCAACCUACCUUUAUCUGGGGGAUAGCCUUUCGAAAGGAAGAUUAAUACCCCAUAAUAUAAUUGAUGGCAUCAUUGAUUAUUGAAAACUCCGGUGGAUAGAGAUGGGCACGCGCAAGAUUAGAUAGUUGGUGAGGUAACGGCUCACCAAGUCUGUGAUCUUUAGGGGUCCUGAGAGGGAGAUCCCCCACACUGGUACUGAGACACGGACCAGACUCCUACGGGAGGCAGCAGUGAGGAAUAUUGGACAAUGGGUGAAAGCCUGAUCCAGCCAUCCCGCGUGAAGGAUGACGGUCCUAUGGAUUGUAAACUUCUUUUGUACAGGGAUAAACCUACUCUCGUGAGGGUAGCUGAAGGUACUGUACGAAUAAGCACCGGCUAACUCCGUGCCAGCAGCCGCGGUAAUACGGAGGGUGCAAGCGUUAUCCGGAUUUAUUGGGUUUAAAGGGUCCGUAGGCGGACCUGUAAGUCAGUGGUGAAAUCUCAUAGCUUAACUAUGAAACUGCCAUUGAUACUGCGGGUCUUGAGUAAAUUUGAAGUGGCUGGAAUAAGUAGUGUAGCGGUGAAAUGCAUAGAUAUUACUUAGAACACCAAUUGCGAAGGCAGGUCACUAAGAUUUAACUGACGCUGAUGGACGAAAGCGUGGGUAGCGAACAGGAUUAGAUACCCUGGUAGUCCACGCCGUAAACGAUGCUAACUCGUUUUUGGAUUUUCGGAUUCAGAGACCAAGCGAAAGUGAUAAGUUAGCCACCUGGGGAGUACGUCCGCAAGGAUGAAACUCAAAGGAAUUGACGGGGGCCCGCACAAGCGGUGGAUUAUGUGGUUUAAUUCGAUGAUACGCGAGGAACCUUACCAAGACUUAAAUGGGAAUUGACAGGUUUAGAAAUAGACCCUUCUUCGGACAAUUUUCAAGGUGCUGCAUGGUUGUCGUCAGCUCGUGCCCUGAGGUGUUAGGUUAAGUCCUGCAACGAGCGCAACCCCUGUCACUAGUUGCUAACAUUUAGUUGAGGACUCUAGUGAGACUGCCUACGCAAGUAGAGAGGAAGGUGGGGAUGACGUCAAAUCAUCACGGCCCUUACGUCUUGGGCCACCACGUAAUACAAUGGCCGGUACAGAGGGCAGCUACCAGGUGACUGGAUGCAAAUCUCGAAAGCCGGUCUCAGUUCGGAUUGGA
This 1232-nucleotide ribosomal RNA is filed under the name Kaistella anthropi. RNAcentral describes it as "bacterial SSU rRNA". It matches the Rfam family "Bacterial small subunit ribosomal RNA", at positions 60 to 1302 of the family's 1533-position model. The record is from RNAcentral. Lineage: Bacteria; Pseudomonadati; Bacteroidota; Flavobacteriia; Flavobacteriales; Weeksellaceae.